Molecule: long non-coding RNA, 241 nt
Filed under: Elaeis guineensis (African oil palm)
Lineage: Eukaryota; Viridiplantae; Streptophyta; Magnoliopsida; Arecales; Arecaceae
Description: long non-coding RNA (EGUI_LNC019922)
Source: RNAcentral
UAUAUAUAUGAGAUAUUAUUCGCUUUGAUCUCGGCCGCUGUAGCAUGGGGCCUCAUGGUUGUGCCCUUCAAAAGAUACCCAUAGGGAAGAGAAGAUCCUAUCGUAUAUAAAUCAGAGUCUUUCUUGACUCACAAUCAAUGUUGGACAAAUGAUAUCCUCUCUCCUAUAUUACAAUAUAGCCCCCCAGUCAAUGGAGACUUUGAACAAGGUUGCGGGAGGUGCACCAUAGUAUGUCUGAGGC